GGUUACUUUCUCUUUAAUCGGAGUAUAGUAUUGCCUGUACAUUCUUGUAUAUUUAAUUGUAAGAUGUUGUCGGCGUGCACUUCUCCCCUAGUAGGACGUCGCGACCCGUUGAGUUUUUAUUGUCGGUCUACGGCCCAAAUGGAAGCUUUCAGUGAUUAUUUUCAACGAUAAUUCAUUGAAAACCUUUGGUGUUACCUGACUGGCACUCAUCGGUAUUCGUAUGGUAUUGAGCCGCAUAUUAUAUGCGUCCGUAUCUGUCGCAAGCGAGGUUAGUAUAUUUUUAUUACUGAUAGUACGGACUUAGUGCCGUCGUUGGUACUAAUCAGCUGUUGGUUGUACAGAAUUCUAGGACUGGCUCUUAAAUGAAAAUACCGGUCAGCGAUGCUACUGCUUUGGG
This 397-nucleotide ribosomal RNA is filed under the name Chaoilta sp. Its description in RNAcentral is "eukaryotic LSU rRNA". The record is from RNAcentral. Lineage: Eukaryota; Metazoa; Arthropoda; Insecta; Hymenoptera; Braconidae.